Long non-coding RNA from Ailuropoda melanoleuca (giant panda), 3318 nucleotides. RefSeq lists it as uncharacterized. The record is from RefSeq and is a predicted model, not a curated record. The transcript has 4 exons. NCBI's taxonomy places the organism in Eukaryota, Metazoa, Chordata, Mammalia, Carnivora, Ursidae.
GGGUAGGCAAAGCUUUUAAAUGCAGAGAUGCCUGGGAUAGGUGGCUGUGGAAAGUAGGAGGCGGGGAGGUGAAAGCUGGUGUGGGAGGGGGUUCUUGAAACUUAAGCUUCAUCAAAUAGUUUACUGACAGGGAAGUCAAGGCGGGAAGUAUUGGUUUGUGGUUAAGCACAUGGGGCGGGGUCUGCACUUGAGAUGGGCAAACAAGUUAAAGUACAGAAAAUAAACAUGGGUUUGAGGGCCUUGCUGUCUUAAAGUUGUGUCAAGCUCAAAGUUUGAUUAGUCCUGUCAGCACCUAAAAUUGUUUUGGGGAUUUCCCAAAGGGUCCCCGAAAAAUCUCUUUUGUAAAAAGAGAAAUGUUAGGAAUAAUGACGGUCGUUUGUUACGUUACUGAUGAUGAGUUACAUGGGAAAUAUUCUCAAAUCAGAAAAAAUGCCUAAACUUCUUUAGGUUAAAUUUGUAUGGGUAAGAUGUUAUUAACAUAAAUAUUUAAACAAUUGUAGUCUGUAUGGGAAGGUUCUAGACAAUGAUCAAUGUUUUUCUGUCCAUGAUAUGUUUCUGUUUAUCAGUCUUGGUAUUGCUUUGCCUAUAAGACAAAAACAGUAUUGUAUUAGCACUCAAAAUUUCAGUUACUUUUAAAAAAAACAUUAACUUGGCUGAAACUUUACUUUUUAACUUGUAUCUAGUGGAUUUCAGGUAAUAGUGUUCUAUUGGGGACUCACAUUUAUCUAUAGAUUUUAUUAAUCUACUACUGAUGUUUAGAACAUACUUUAUCUGUAUUGAAUCUAUUUACUUGGUAAUCCCAAUAUAUUCUUGGUAUAUUCUAACUUUGUGCUAGGUAUAUAUGGUAUCUAAUGUUUUAGGAUUUUUAUAUGUUAUGUUUUCUCUGUGAAGAUUAUAUUUAUCUAUUUUCAUAAAUUAGAUGUAAUCUCUACUCUUCUUUGAAAAUAGGCAUAAAUCUUUGUGCUUACACAUAUUUUGUCAAAAACUUUUUUGGAUUGACUUUGUUUUGUUUUGCAUGCUAAGAAACAAUCAGAUAUGCUUGUCAAUUGCAUUAUUCUUGUAACGAACUCUUUUCAGAUCAUUCUCUUUUGAAAAAUAUCAACAGUGAGUAAACAAUAGACAUUUCUAGUCUUUUGUCAUCUACAGAAAGCUUGCAUGUUUUGUUUUACUCCUGAUGCUUCCAUGAAAUCAUCUGGAAUCAGCUAUAAGGCAGAGUGUUCCAUCUUCAACAAAUAUUCUCAAGUCAGAUCCCUGCCUAAGAGCCUGGUGAAGAAGACUAUGCCAGGUACUCCUGGGUACAGACUUUUGAUGGCAUUGCUUCAAUAACUAUGUGAUCAUACCAGUGGACUGAGUCAAGAGUUCUAGACGUCUAGUAGAAGCAAAUGUGUUCUUGAGACUACUAACCCCAGAUCAAGUGGAGCAAGAAUGAAUUACAAAGCACCAAAUGAACUGAGUAAACUGGGUGGACACGGGCUUUGCUUGCAACAGUGCUGAUGCUUUAAUGCUCUGUUUUCUGGAUGUAAGGCACCACUCUCUCUUUUCUCUCAAGCUAUCUAUCACUCGUAACAAUUUAGUAGACUGUGCUCUUGUAAGGCAGAAAUGAAACAGUGAUCUUUUCUGCGCCGACUCACCCUGCAAAAUUUAAGGACCUCUUAGUGAGGAUUCCUGUUUUCGUGGCACUCUAGUUAUUUACAUGGAUUCAGUAAGAGUCUGUCCACCUUGUUAAUAGGACGGAAUUAGAAACACGGGUGAUGCAAUCAAGGCUGGCGUUGCAUACAGUGUCAUAGUUGAGAAGGAUGCUCGUUUCAUCAGCUGUGACCAGACACUUUUCAGGAGUUAAGGUGGACUUUCUGGGGCCAGUGCUUAUAAAGUCCCUCUUGGGAAAACUGGCCUGGUAACCGGCUUUAUAGGGUUCCCAGCCUUAGAGGUGAGCAAGGAAGGUACUUCCUGGCAGGCUCAGGAAUCUUAGGGUAUUUUGGGGACCUCAGGAAGAGAGGACUUCCCACUGAGUCACUAGGUACUGCAGGUGAAAACUGAUGGUGAAGUUUGGGCUCAGCUUCCUAUCCUCAAGGGCCUUUGAAAAGUCCAGUCUGAGGUUCUUUGUGAAAACAUCCAGCAAAGCAAAUAGAAGGCCUAUGUGGAGACUUGUCCUUCUUGCUGCAUGUAUGUGAACAACCAGGCCAUGUCUAGUGAGACCAGCCUUGCUUUGUGAUCAAGAAUCAUCUUUCUUUGAGCUUGUCUUGAUCCAGAGGGGAAAAGGGACUGUAAGAGCAUUUUGUGUUUCAGUGGGAAACUAAGCCUACUGUUCUGGAUUAUCAGAUUCUGACCCUAUUCAUUGUCUUGGAGCUCUUUUGCACCUCUGUAAAUCGCAGGUAACUGGUCGCUAUGCAAACUUUGUCUUGUCUGGUAACCAAGCUUUCUCAUUUCCUGUGGAAAAACCCAUUUGAUGUUUCCUUCUAAAUUGGACUGCGUUUUCUCACCUUACACAGCUUGUCAACCCUUACCAAAUUUUCAGUUCUUCUAGUUUCCUUCAAUAUUUGGCUACAAACUAAUCUUAGCCUGUAAACAAGCUUUCCAAUUUUUCUGCAUCCUUGACGUGGAGUUACUGAGAACUACAAAUUGAUUGCCAGCUUUUUAUUGGGAUUCUGAAGUUGCCUUGUAACUGGUUUUGCCUCCAAGAUCUGCAGAGUGAUUGCAAGCUGAAGCCUAAGAACUUUUUAUAAGACUAGAAGGACUUGUCAUCCCAAGCUGACCAUUCAUGGUCCAGUUCUUUCCCUGGAUAGGUCACUGUUUGGACUACCAAGCACGUCUGGUGAAAUUCGCCAUCCUUAUUGGAGUAGUAACCAAUGCUAUGGACAACACCACCAACACAAUUGACAUCUCAGCUUCAAAAAGCUCAAUGAAUGCUUUUUUGGAGUUUCCAUCAAGGUACAGUUUGCACUGACCAUCAUCAUGGCCUCCAGUUUUCAACUGGCACCCAGAACCUGCUGUGUCUCACUGCUUGCUACUUGUCAAGUCCACAACGAGUGGUAUUCAGAAUGGUUUGGCAGCUCUCUAGCUGAAUUCCUGGGACCAGACGAACGUUAGCACUCCUGCUCCUCCGCCAUAUUGGAACGCCCCUCCAAUAAAUGAACUGCAGAGGCAGCGGCGCAAUCUCCGAGCGGGUCCUGCCAGAGCCGAGAGGCUGUAGCCCCCGUCACCACCACCAACCCCGUCACUACCGCCACUGCAGUUGCCGUGGGCUGCGCCCUGUCUUUUAUUCUGGAAGGAGGAGAAAAGAUGGUGGAGGAGUAAGAGACCCUUUCUCAGCUGGUCCCA